GUCGAGGGGCAGCACAAGUGUAGCAAUACUCUGGUGGCGACCGGCGCACGGGCGAUUAUCGCGUAUGCAACCUACCACCUUCCACAGGGGGAUAGCCUUCCGAUAGGGAGAUUAAUACCGCAUGAAACAGGGGCCCCGCAUGGGGAUAUUUGUUAAAGAUUUAUCGGUGGAAGAUGGGCAUGCGUUCCAUUAGCUAGUUGGGGGGGUAACGGCCCACCAAGGCAACGAUGGAUAGGGGAACUGAGAGGUUUAUCCCCCACACUGGGACUGAGACACGGCCCAGACUCCUACGGGAGGCAGCAGUGAGGAAUAUUGGUCAAUGGGCGGGAGCCUGAACCAGCCAAGUCGCGUGGAGGACGACGGUUCUAUGGAUUGUAAACUCCUUUUGCACUGGGGUAAAACGCGGGACGUGUCCCGCCUUGACCAAGUACAGUGCGAAUAAGCAUCGGCUAACUCCGUGCCAGCAGCCGCGGUAAUACGGAGGAUGCGAGCGUUAUCCGGAUUUAUUGGGUUUAAAGGGUGCGUAGGCGGCCCCUUAAGUCAGCGGUAAAAUUUCUGCGCUCAACGCAGUCGUGCCGUUGAAACUGGGGGGCUUGAGUCUAGAUGAAGUGGGCGGAAUUUGUAGUGUAGCGGUGAAAUGCUUAUAUAUUACAAGGAACUCCGAUUGCGCAGGCCGCUCACUAUGCUAUCACUGACGCUGAAGCACGAAAGCGUGGGUAUUAAACAGGAAUAGAUACCCUGGUAUUCCACGCAGUAAACAAUGAUCACUCGCUGUCUGCGAUAUAAAAUAGGGGGGCCAGCGAAAAAGUUAAAUGAUUCCCCUGGGGGGGACCCCCGGGCACCGGGGAAAA
RNAcentral lists this ribosomal RNA (851 nucleotides) under uncultured bacterium. Its description in RNAcentral is "bacterial SSU rRNA". It matches the Rfam family "Bacterial small subunit ribosomal RNA", at positions 61 to 899 of the family's 1533-position model. The record is from RNAcentral.